RNAcentral lists this ribosomal RNA (253 nucleotides) under uncultured bacterium. RNAcentral's name for it is "partial 16S ribosomal RNA". It matches the Rfam family "Bacterial small subunit ribosomal RNA", at positions 524 to 776 of the family's 1533-position model. The record is from RNAcentral.
UACGUAGGGGGCAAGCGUUGUCCGGAUUUAUUGGGCGUAAAGCGCGUGUAGGCGGCCAGGUAGGUCGGUUGUGAAAAUCCGGGGCUCAACCCCGGACUUGCAGUGGGUACGGGCAGACUAGAGUGUGGUAGGGGAGACUGGAAUUCCUGGUGUAGCGGUGAAAUGCGCAGAUAUCAGGAGGAACACCGAUGGCGAAGGCAGGUCUCUGGGCCACUACUGACGCUGAGAAGCGAAAGCAUGGGGAGCGAACAGG